AGUGAACGCUGGCGGUAGGCCUAACACAUGCAAGUCGAACGGCAGCACGGUAAGAGCUUGCUCUUACGGGUGGCGAGUGGCGGACAGGUGAGGAAUACAUCGGAAUCUACUUUUUCGUGGGGGAUAACGUAGGGAAACUUACGCUAAUACCGCAUACGACCUACGGGUGAAAGCAGGGGAUCUUCGGACCUUGCGCGAUUGAAUGAGCCGAUGUCGGAUUAGCUAGUUGGCGGGGUAAAGGCCCACCAAGGCGACGAUCCGUAGCUGGUCUGAGAGGAUGAUCAGCCACACUGGAACUGAGACACGGUCCAGACUCCUACGGGAGGCAGCAGUGGGGAAUAUUGGACAAUGGGCGCAAGCCUGAUCCAGCCAUACCGCGUGGGUGAAGAAGGCCUUCGGGUUGUAAAGCCCUUUUGUUGGGAAAGAAAAGCAGCAGGUUAAUACCCCGCUGUUCUGACGGUACCCAAAGAAUAAGCACCGGCUAACUUCGUG
RNAcentral lists this ribosomal RNA (492 nucleotides) under uncultured bacterium. Its description in RNAcentral is "partial 16S ribosomal RNA". It matches the Rfam family "Bacterial small subunit ribosomal RNA", at positions 29 to 507 of the family's 1533-position model. The record is from RNAcentral.